This 330-nucleotide unclassified non-coding RNA is filed under the name soil metagenome. Its description in RNAcentral is "partial contains 5.8S ribosomal RNA, internal transcribed spacer 2, and large subunit ribosomal RNA". The stretch from base 1 to 120 matches the Rfam family "5.8S ribosomal RNA", at positions 35 to 154 of the family's 154-position model. The record is from RNAcentral.
GAUGAAGAACGCAGCGAAAUGCGAUAAGUAAUGUGAAUUGCAGAAUUCAGUGAAUCAUCGAAUCUUUGAACGCCCAUUGCGGCCCUUGGUAUUCCGAGGGGCAUGCCUGUUCGAGCGUCAUUUCAACCCUCAAGCACAGCUUGGUCUUGGGCUUCGCCGCUAACCCGGCGGGUCUUAAAAUCAGUGGCGGUGCCGUCGGGCCCUGAGCGCAGUAAUCUCUCUCGCUAUAGGGUCCCGGCGGAUGCUGGCCAGUAACCCCCAAUUUUCUAUGGUUGACCUCGGAUCAGGUAGGGAUACCCGCUGAACUUAAGCAUAUCAAUAAGCGGAGGA